This 1938-nucleotide ribosomal RNA is filed under the name Triticum aestivum (bread wheat). Its description in RNAcentral is "partial small subunit ribosomal RNA". Lineage: Eukaryota; Viridiplantae; Streptophyta; Magnoliopsida; Poales; Poaceae. The record is from RNAcentral.
AUGAAGCAUCGUUCUGAGUUGUUUUCUAUAUAUAAGGCUUUUGUACAUAUGGUCCAUACUCAGUUUUCCAGUGAUGUUCGUGUUUUUCGUUCUGACUCCGGGGGGGAGUAUCUAUCUAUUGCUUUUUGUGAGUUUCUCUCAUCUGAGGGUACUCUCCCUCAGUUUUCAUGCCCUGGUGCCCAUGCUCAGAAUGGUGUUGCUGAGCGUAAGCAUCGCCAUAUUGUUGAGACAGCUCGUACCCUUCUGAUUUCUUCCUUUGUCCCCACUCAUUUUUGGGGUGAAGCUAUCUCAACUGCUGUUUAUCUUAUCAAUCUCCAACCUUCUACUCGCCUUGAGGGCAAGUGUCCUGGUGAGGUUUUGUUUGGUUCUCCUCCCACGUAUGACCACCUCCGUGUCUUUGGUUGUACUUGUUAUGUUCUUUUAGCACCUCGUGAGCGUACCAAGUUGACUGCUCAGUCUGCUGAGUGUGUCUUCCUUGGAUAUAGUCUUGAACAUAAGGGCUACCGUUGCUAUGAUUCUUCUGCUCGCCGCAUUCGCUUUUCUCGCGAUGUCACUUUUGUUGAGGAUCAACCCUUCUUCUAUUCCCCUUCCACUAAACCAUCAUCCUCAACUUCUUUAGAGUCUACCUCGUUUCUUUCACUUCCACCUAUCUUUUUAGAUGAGUCCAUAGCUGAACAACCUUCCUCUGUCCUAACAUCAGAACCAUCUCCACCACAUGUUUCAUCUCCUUCCUCACCAGCUCCUUUCUCUCUUCCACUAGCUCCACCUCUAGAUAGUCUUCCUUUCCAUUACACUCGUCGUUAUUCUACUCCUCCAGCCAGUACUUUCCAUUACACUCGUCGUUCUAAAGUUCCAUGUGACACGCAGUCAUCUAUGCCUUUGUCUUCUACUCCUCCAGCCAGUACUACUGAUCCUUGCACUGACGGCUCUUCUCUAGCAACGCGAUACAAGGACUUGUAUGCAGGGGUUGUUUCUGAGCCUAGUACCUAUCAGGAGGCAGUUGUGUCACCUGAGUGGCAACUGGCUAUGUCUGAGGAGCUUGCAGCCUUAGAGCGUACUGGUACAUGGGAUUUGGUACCAUUACCUCCUCAUUCAGUCCCUAUCACUUGCAAAUGGGUGUAUAAGGUUAAAACCAAGUCAAAUGGUUCUGUGGAACGCUACAAGGCUCGCCUUGUUGCAAGAGGUUUUCAGCAGUCUCAUGGGAAAGAUUAUGAUGAGACGUUUGCUCCUGUUGCUCACAUGACUUCAGUUCGAACUCUAAUUGCUGUGGCUGCUACUCGGUCAUGGAAAAUUUACCACAUGGAUGUGAAGAAUGCCUUCCUUCAUGGUGAUUUACAUGAGGAGGUUUAUAUGCAGCCACCUCCAGGUAUCAAGGUUCCAUUAGGUCAUGUUUGUCGUCUUCGAAAGGCUCUUUAUGGGCUUAAGCAAGCCCCUCGUGCCUGGUUUGAGCGGUUCAGUUCUGUGAUUCAAGCUGCCGGUUUUUAUCCUAGCGAACAUGACCCUGCACUCUUCAUUCAUACAUCUGAGCAUGGCCGUACAUUGCUUCUACUUUAUGUAGAUGACAUGUUGAUCACUGGAGAUGAUGUUGGGUAUAUUGAUUUUGUUAAGAAAAAAUUGAGUGAACAAUUUAAGAUGUCAGAUUUGGGGUCUCUCAGCUAUUUUCUCGGGAUUGAGGUUGAGCACACCGAUGAUGGUUACUAUAUCUCCCAGCAAAAGUACACUCAGGAUUUGAUUCUUCGCUCAGGUCUCACUGACACGCGCAUUGCUGCUACACCUAUGGAGCUUCAUCUGCAGUUGCGUCCUACUGAUGGCACUCCUCUUGAGGAUCCCUCUCGCUACCGUCACACCGUCGGCAGUCUAGUGUACCUCACAGUGACCAGACCUGACAUCGCACAUGCAGUCCAUAUUCUCAGUCAAUUUGUCUGUGCUCCCACCUAA